Molecule: long non-coding RNA, 842 nt
Organism: Cryptotermes secundus
Lineage: Eukaryota; Metazoa; Arthropoda; Insecta; Blattodea; Kalotermitidae
Exons: 8
Source: RefSeq, a predicted model, not a curated record
GCGAGUAGGAAGUACAUUACGUACAGUAUUUCGCGGUAGGCUGUGUGCUGGCUGGGUCUGCUCUUCUUACACUCUGCGUGCACAACUCACAUGUCUUUCACAGUGGCGAUUGUCUGAAGCAAGGAGGGGAGCCACUGAAGUUCGGCCAGGAUUUCAACAUAUGUUCUGUGGAAAGUCUCUCAUGCCAUCCAAAUACCAGCUUUGAAACAAACCAUGCAGCCUCUAACACGAACCUUGCAGUUGAAUAUCAGUAUUGGUUUCCAACAUAUUUUGGGAUGGUUGUACAGCAUCAAAUAUGAUGAUGAUUAUGACUGAUGGAAUGGUUUUGGCCUAUUUUAAGGGUCUGCCCCAGCAUUUGCUUGAAUGGACCAAGGAAAGCUACACAAAAUCCCAAAAGGUCAGUUCCAUCACUACUACUGGCUGCCAUAUGCACUGGUGAGCAAACUUGUACUGGGUCUUGUGAUUCAUCAUCUUCUCGAAUAGUGGCUGUGUCAUUAGUCCAACAAGAACCAAUCAUCACGCUUGUCUGCAACAAGUGUAUGAGACAAGAUCUAUCCAUUGGAAGCUGAAAAGUUGGCUAUUCCCAGAUGAGCGACGAUGUGCAAGGCCUUUUCCUUGAGAUGGGUGCCACGUAUGGAAGCAUUUCACUCAUAAGCGUGCUUGAACCAUGCAGCAGUGCAGCUUCCAGUUUCUCCAGUGGCAAUCGUUUGAAGAAAGCUGCUGCUGUGUUGACUGGCGAAGGUGACCAUUGAGAAGUGUGCUUGGAUUAUCAUAGAGCGCAGAACCCAGUGCACGUAUGGCAGGCAGAGGUAGCUUCCUCACGCAGUAAGUAUAAAUCUUUC